CCUACGGGGGGCUGCAGUGGGGAAUUUUGGACAAUGGGCGAAAGCCUGAUCCAGCCAUGCCGCGUGCAGGAUGAAGGCCUUCGGGUUGUAAACUGCUUUUGUACGGAACGAAAAAGUUCUCUCUAAUACAGGGGGCGAAUGACGGUACCGUAAGAAUAAGCACCGGCUAACUACGUGCCAGCAGCCGCGGUAAUACGUAGGGUGCGAGCGUUAAUCGGAAUUACUGGGCGUAAAGCGUGCGCAGGCGGUUAUAUAAGACAGAUGUGAAAUCCCCGGGCUCAACCUGGGAACUGCAUUAGUGACUGUAUAGCUAGAGUGCGGCAGAGGGGGAUGGAAUUCCGCGUGUAGCAGUGAAAUGCGUAGAUAUGCGGAGGAACACCGAUGGCGAAGGCAAUCCCCUGGGCCUGCACUGACGCUCAUGCACGAAAGCGUGGGGAGCAAACAGGAUUAGAUACCCUGGUAGUC
This 465-nucleotide ribosomal RNA is filed under the name uncultured Comamonadaceae bacterium. RNAcentral's name for it is "bacterial SSU rRNA". It matches the Rfam family "Bacterial small subunit ribosomal RNA", at positions 338 to 795 of the family's 1533-position model. Lineage: Bacteria; Pseudomonadati; Pseudomonadota; Betaproteobacteria; Burkholderiales; Comamonadaceae. The record is from RNAcentral.